Molecule: long non-coding RNA, 1341 nt
Organism: Dendrobium catenatum
Lineage: Eukaryota; Viridiplantae; Streptophyta; Magnoliopsida; Asparagales; Orchidaceae
Exons: 4
Source: RefSeq, a predicted model, not a curated record
GGACUCCCUUCUCUACUUUCUAUUAACUCAACUUGCUCAAGAGAUCGUCUCGUGGCCUCGGAAGACUCUUCCCGUUCAGGCGAACGGCUCCCGAUGCUGAAGAAGGUUUUGAAAGGUUUCUAAAGAAUUCAAGCUAAAAUGAUGGCAUCAUAUAAAUCAUCAGGUUUUGAUGCCCUUCUUAGAGAGCAGGUUGUGAAAGGUUUCUUCAAGGGUUUUGCAUUCAAACUCAGCAAGGCUUUGCAAGAGGGUUAAGUGAUGGGUUAUCUAAGAUUGUCAAAUCCAAAGGAAUCUCAGGUUCUAAUUCAAGUUAUUCCCAGCACUCAUUUCGAAAAGACAAGGCUCUUUCUUUCUUGUUAUAAUUUUGAUCCAAAAUCCUUCAGAUUUAUUUCUAGGUAAGGUCUUUUCACUUUUAAUUUUGUAAUAUUCAGAUUCAUUUCUAGGAAUGCUAUUCAAAAUAAUUUUAAAGCUGUAACUGUCCAUGUGUCAAUUGGUCUUUAAGCAUUGAAUUUCCAAAUUAGUAAAAAUUGAAGCUCUUUCUUCAAUGUUCUUGUUACUAUAAGAGUUAUACAGUAGGAUUAAAAUUUUCCUCUCUGUUUCAUCGCAGUAAAUUGUUUGGACAUUAUUUUAAAUUAUCUGAUUAAUUUAUACUUCACACUUCAUUUUGCUAUUUGAAGAUAACUUUAUUUUCUACAAACAGCUCCUUAUAAUAUACUUCGUUGUAUGUUUUAUGUUGUAAUAACAUUUUAAUGCACUUCUAAUGUUAAAUUAAAUUUCUACAAACUGUUUGUGCUUACAAUUUAGAGAUGGCACCCUUUUUAAAUUUGAUUAUUAUGAUUUUGUUGCAAACUCAUUAUUGGGUUUACAAUAAAUAAUAGAUUCUAGAUUGUCGACAGUUUAGAAAUUGAGUACGGGAUAGAAAGAGACAGUAAACUUAACUGAAGAGAGGCUUGCAACAUUUCAUUUCCUCAUAUUUAAUUCCUUAAAAAAUAUACUAUUUAUAGAAACAAGACUUAAGGACUCAUAUACUAUCUAUUAACUCUUAACACUCAUGAUUUGGCUAUAAAUUACAAUUACUUUCGGAGAUAUGUUAAUAUAAUCCCAAUUUCAUUUAAGUUAUUGAACCUAAUGGAUUUAUUUUGCAAAAAAUUAUGCAACAAUCAAAUUUCUUUAAACUGACUGGUUGACGGGUUAAUGGAACAUAGUAGUUAAUGGAACAUAGUCAUGCUCUUUGAGAUUUGGGUUGUCGUAUAAAUGAAGGUUAUUAACAGAUAGUUUUAUUAAUAUAUAAAUUUUGGGUGUUAAUUCAGUAACUGUACAUGUGAACGAGAUCCAACUUUUCUA